RNAcentral lists this transfer RNA (85 nucleotides) under Ictidomys tridecemlineatus (thirteen-lined ground squirrel). RNAcentral describes it as "Spermophilus tridecemlineatus (thirteen-lined ground squirrel) tRNA". It matches the Rfam family "tRNA". From Rfam's summary of the family: Transfer RNA (tRNA) molecules are approximately 80 nucleotides in length. Their secondary structure includes four short double-helical elements and three loops (D, anti-codon, and T loops). The record is from Rfam by way of RNAcentral. Lineage: Eukaryota; Metazoa; Chordata; Mammalia; Rodentia; Sciuridae.
UGGGAUAUGGCUCAGUGGUAGAGAGCUUGCCAUGCUUGAGAUCCUGGCAUGCUUGAGAUUCUGGGUUCGAUUCCUAGUACUCCUG